UACCAGAAGCAGGAUUUGCAGGGUAGGGUUAUGUUUCUUACUACUUCAUUGCCCAGUUGUAUUUUAGCAGCGCUCAACUUGACUUACCCAGCAGUGACUGUAUAUUUCAAGUUAUCUCUGAUACACAAUAUUUAAUUUUUAAAGUUAACUUUAUUUACUGAAUUACUGGAAAACAAAAGUCCUUCUGUUUUCACUCUUGAGUAAUCACUUGAUUCAUAUAAGGAAUUCUAAAAAAAGCUCUCAACAAAGCUAUCAGCAUUGCUCAUCCCUGCGAAGCUGGAGAUUUAAAAAUACUCUGGGAGAGGGAAGGUGUAGAGGUAGAUUAUUGCCACUAACAUCUC
RNAcentral lists this long non-coding RNA (341 nucleotides) under Homo sapiens (human). RNAcentral's name for it is "HSALNT0264892". The record is from RNAcentral. Lineage: Eukaryota; Metazoa; Chordata; Mammalia; Primates; Hominidae.